GUUGGGGGAGCACCACCAGAGGAACUAUAUUAAAGGGUUGUGGCAUUAGGAAGGUGGAGAGCCACCGCCCUGAGAGUUCAAAGUGAAAUGACCUGUCCAGUUCUUACUCAUGCAUUGUGACAAAGUGAGGACACAUUCUGAGUCUGAACUGCCUGGCAGACCCAGUGUAACAGCUCUGAGUCUCUAACACACAGGCUUGCACUGUGACUUCUGUAACAUCUUAGGACUUAGGAAAUGACUUCCUUGAACAUACUGGGAGAAAAACCAUAGAUCAUCAGAGAACCACUAAAAACCCCUCCUCUUUCACAGUUGUCCCCUCUAAGUAAAGAAGAUGCUGGAGAAUAUGUGUGCCAGGCAUCCAACUCCCAAGGACAGGCUUCAGCCUCGGCCAAAAUUAUGGUGGUGGAUUCCUUGCAAGAAAUACCGGGGGAAAGAGGUGAAGACGCUAAUGCAUAGCCUGCAAGAAUGUGUCUGUCUGUCUGCGUCGCUGCAAGCAGCCAUGGAGAACUACAGCCCCUGUUCUUGUCUAAUCACAUUUCUUUUAACCCAGUUCACCAGCACUUUCGUUAUAUUCACUGAUUUUACAUAGAAAAUUACCAAGUAAAGAGAACACUCGAAGACUAUCUACAAAAAUGUAUUGUUUAUUUACAAACCAAAGGGAGACAAGCAUGCAUACAGUACUACAAAUAAAAUGCUCUUCCACACAGUA
Long non-coding RNA from Echinops telfairi (small Madagascar hedgehog), 709 nucleotides. RefSeq lists it as uncharacterized. NCBI's taxonomy places the organism in Eukaryota, Metazoa, Chordata, Mammalia, Afrosoricida, Tenrecidae. The transcript is spliced from 2 exons. The record is from RefSeq and is a predicted model, not a curated record.